This is a non-coding RNA of Brassica napus (rape), 125 nucleotides long. Lineage: Eukaryota; Viridiplantae; Streptophyta; Magnoliopsida; Brassicales; Brassicaceae. The record is from Rfam.
GGAAUAUAAGAAACAAUCUUUUAACUUUUAACUAAAAAAACCAAGAAUCGAUUCUUAAAUAAGAUAUUUAAGAAUCGGUUCUUAUCUUUUUUAGUUAAAAGUUAAGAGACGGUUUCUUAUAUUCC